UACAGAGGUCUCAAGCGUUGUUCGGAAUCACUGGGCGUAAAGGGUGCGUAGGCGGCUUGGUAAGUCAGAUGUGAAAGGCGGGGGCUCAACCUCCGGACUGCAUCCGAUACUGCCAAGCUAGAGUACUGGAGAGGUGUCUAGAAUUCUCGGUGUAGCAGUGAAAUGCGUAGAUAUCGAGAGGAAUACCAAUGGCGAAGGCAGGACACUGGACAGUUACUGACGCUGAGGCACGAAGGCUAGGGUAGCGAACGGG
RNAcentral lists this ribosomal RNA (253 nucleotides) under uncultured bacterium. RNAcentral describes it as "partial 16S ribosomal RNA". It matches the Rfam family "Bacterial small subunit ribosomal RNA", at positions 524 to 776 of the family's 1533-position model. The record is from RNAcentral. RNAcentral also lists the same sequence under 1 other name.